Long non-coding RNA from Gadus morhua (Atlantic cod), 1050 nucleotides. RefSeq lists it as uncharacterized. The transcript has 2 exons. The record is from RefSeq and is a predicted model, not a curated record. NCBI's taxonomy places the organism in Eukaryota, Metazoa, Chordata, Actinopteri, Gadiformes, Gadidae.
CUCCUUCCUUGCAACACCACAGGCCCCUGCUCCUGGGCCUUUGGUAUGGCUGCUACUCAAAAACCUUCUGAAAAUCACGACAUGACAAACAACUGACAGGAGAACAAAGGAAGUGAACAUGAAUAUAUGGGGAGAGACUGAUCGGGGAAUGAGGUGCAGUUUGGAAGAUUAUCAAGGAUGCACAGGUAAGGGGAAUAAAGUGAUUGGGAAAGUCUAAGGACAUCUGACAGUGGAAGGACGAACACUAAACGACAGAAAGACCCCCCUCCUUCUCAACCUUAUUGUUUGACCCCUUCAAAAUAAGAUGUUCAUUCAUGCCAGAUAUAAAUAAAAGUAAUUUCUCUAUGGUUGUGAGAUCAAAUAUUUCUAUGUACUCUGAUCUUUGUUUUUUGUAUACAGUUUUUUCAAUACAACUUAAAGGUGUGUGCUCGGGUGCAAUCAUAGAGAAUGAUCAAAGAUGUAUAAAGAUGACAGAAAUAUACACGAUUCAGUGACAGGCAUUAAAGCACUCAACAAAACGUGUGUGUGUGUGUGUGUGUGUGUGUGUGUGUGUGUGUGUGUGUGUGUGUGUGUGUGUGUGUGUGUGACGGUAACAAGAAAAGUCAUGAUACGGAAGGGUGUGAGCUCCAAGUGGUUUCCUCUAGCAGCUCGGCUGAUCACAAGCAGAAGCAAGUGAAAUAGUGCGAAGGGCGUUCCUACUGGGUUUUGUGGUGGGGAACUAGUAGCUCGUGGUUGUGUUUGCAUUGUCGUUCUAACUGAUGCUUCCUAGUAUGUUUGCAUCGAGGGUGUAAUGAAAGUUUAGUUUGGAUCUCUGGGUACAGUGGUUGAAAUGUCAUCAGCAACAUGUGCUAAUUUAUUCUUGAGAAAUCUUUGGGGAACUUUGUUUCUUUUUACUUGUCUGCUUCCGCGACUUCUGAAGAAAGCAUCCAUUCCGAGGUCAGAGGGCUUCCAUUAAGAAUAAACGCGUAUCCAUGCUUGACCGACACACGUUAUGGUCAGAAGAUCAACCACCAGUGGCUUGGGAGACCAACACAUAACUAUCUGCGUAAG